UGGGGAAUUUUGGACAAUGGGGGAAACCCUGAUCCAGCCAUCCCGCGUGUGCGAUGAAGGCCUUCGGGUUGUAAAGCACUUUUGGCAGGAAAGAAACGUCAUGGGUUAAUACCCCGUGAAACUGACGGUACCUGCAGAAUAAGCACCGGCUAACUACGUGCCAGCAGCCGCGGUAAUACGUAGGGUGCAAGCGUUAAACGGAAUUACUGGGCGUAUAGCGUGCGCAGGCGGUUCGGAAAGAAAGAUGUGAAAUCCCAGAGCUCAACAUUGGAACUGCAUUUUUAACUACCGGGCUAGAGUGUGUCAGAGGGAGGUGGAAUUCCGCGUGUAGCAGUGAAAUGCGUAGAUAUGCGGAGGAACACCGAUGGCGAAGGCAGCCUCCUGGGAUAAAACUGACGCUCAUGCACGAAAGCGUGGGGAGCAAACAGG
RNAcentral lists this ribosomal RNA (429 nucleotides) under Acidobacteriota bacterium. RNAcentral's name for it is "Acidobacteria bacterium partial 16S ribosomal RNA". It matches the Rfam family "Bacterial small subunit ribosomal RNA", at positions 355 to 776 of the family's 1533-position model. Lineage: Bacteria; Pseudomonadati; Acidobacteriota. The record is from RNAcentral.